CGCUCUUCUGUGAUACUCAUCAGUGGAAUGUGCAGAAUUUCAAGCUCAGUUUCUCUGUUUUCUAAUCAGAGCUGAACUCGGGUCUUCAGAGAGGGAAGGAAGCUUUGCUCUUCAGAGGCAGCCAUGGGAGAAAGAACAAAUUAGCAUGAAAGGCCAGGUGAUUCAAUGAAUAUUCAUAUGGG
Mastomys coucha (southern multimammate mouse) is the source of this 182-nucleotide long non-coding RNA. RefSeq lists it as uncharacterized. Lineage: Eukaryota; Metazoa; Chordata; Mammalia; Rodentia; Muridae. The record is from RefSeq and is a predicted model, not a curated record. The transcript is spliced from 2 exons.